AAGUCGUAACAAGGUUUCCGUAGGUGAACCUGCGGAAGGAUCAUUAUCGAACGAAACUUCUGGCUGGACGCUGUUGUGCUGGCCCUUUGGGGCAACGUGCACGCACCUCUGGCUGUUUGUUUCUUCUGUUCCACAUGUGCACUGCCUGUAGACACGUUAGUGUCUAUGAUGUCGUUACACUUCACACAUGACGGAUGUAUGCAUAUAAUUGGAGAUGUAACAUAUACAA
This 229-nucleotide unclassified non-coding RNA is filed under the name plant metagenome. Its description in RNAcentral is "partial contains small subunit ribosomal RNA and internal transcribed spacer 1". The stretch from base 1 to 46 matches the Rfam family "Eukaryotic small subunit ribosomal RNA", at positions 1786 to 1831 of the family's 1831-position model. The record is from RNAcentral.